AGUGAACGCUGGCGGUAGGCCUAACACAUGCAAGUCGAACGGCAGCACAGGAGAGCUUGCUCUCUGGGUGGCGAGUGGCGGACGGGUGAGGAAUACAUCGGAAUCUACUCUGUCGUGGGGGAUAACGUAGGGAAACUUACGCUAAUACCGCAUACGACCUACGGGUGAAAGCAGGGGACCUUCGGGCCUUGCGCGAUUGAAUGAGCCGAUGUCGGAUUAGCUAGUUGGCGGGGUAAAGGCCCACCAAGGCGACGGUCCGUAGCUGGUCUGAGAGGAUGAUCAGCCACACUGGAACUGAGACACGGUCCAGACUCCUACGGGAGGCAGCAGUGGGGAAUAUUGGACAAUGGGCGCAAGCCUGAUCCAGCCAUACCGCGUGGGUGAAGAAGGCCUUCGGGUUGUAAAGCCCUUUUGUUGGGAAAGAAAUCCAGCUGGCUAAUACCCGGUUGGGAUGACGGUACCCAAAGAAUAAGCACCGGUUAACUUCGUGCCAGCAGCCGCCGUAA
RNAcentral lists this ribosomal RNA (506 nucleotides) under uncultured bacterium. RNAcentral describes it as "partial 16S ribosomal RNA". It matches the Rfam family "Bacterial small subunit ribosomal RNA", at positions 29 to 523 of the family's 1533-position model. The record is from RNAcentral.